GAUUAACGCGAAGAACCUUACCUACCCUUGACAUGUUACGGAAGCCACGAGAGAUCGAGGCGUGCUCGAAAGAGAGCCGUAACACAGGUGCUGCAUGGCUGUCGUCAGCUCGUGUCGUGAGAUGUUGGGUUAAGUCCCGCAACGAGCGCAACCCUUGUCAUUAGUUGCUACGAAAGAGCACUCUAAUGAGACUGCCGGUGACAAACCGGAGGAAGGUGGGGAUGACGUCAAGUCCUCAUGGCCCUUAUGGGUAGGGCUUCACACGUCAUACAAUGGUACAUACAGAGGGCCGCCAACCCGCGAGGGGGAGCUAAUCCCAGAAAGUGUAUCGUAGUCCGGAUUGUAGUCUGCAACUCGACUACAUGAAGUUGGAAUCGCUAGUAAUCGCGGAUCAGCAUGUCGCGGUGAAUACGUUCCCGGGCCUUGUACACACCGAAUCACUAGU
RNAcentral lists this ribosomal RNA (445 nucleotides) under uncultured bacterium. Its description in RNAcentral is "bacterial SSU rRNA". It matches the Rfam family "Bacterial small subunit ribosomal RNA", at positions 954 to 1402 of the family's 1533-position model. The record is from RNAcentral.